Molecule: long non-coding RNA, 866 nt
Organism: Populus trichocarpa (black cottonwood)
Lineage: Eukaryota; Viridiplantae; Streptophyta; Magnoliopsida; Malpighiales; Salicaceae
Exons: 5
Source: RefSeq, a predicted model, not a curated record
UCAUUUUCUCUUCAUUUCCUCUUCAUUUCUUCAAGCUAAAUCAAAAGGGAGUGUGCUUAGGAGGAUUAUAUCCAAGAAAACAAAUUAAAUGACAACUUAGAGAGUUAUAGAGCUUGAGUGAAACAAAGAGAAGAAGCUGGAAAUUGGAAGAGGAGGACAUGAUUUUUGUAAAUUUUUGCAAGAAUUCAUUGAAAUAAGUUAAAGUAGCAAAGACUUCUUUUGAGGGCUGUCACCGGAGGAACAUUUCUGGAAAAUCACCCUUCAAGACAGCCUUGUUCGUCGGUCGUUAUAUCAUCGUUUCACCGUUGGAUUGGUCUGGAUUUUGGAUAUGUUGUUCAUCCAGAUGUUAUAUAAAUUCUGAACGGUUUGGAUCGGAAAAGAACACUCCUACCAGAAAUUGUACUUCCCGAACAGCAGGUCUCCAAAUUUCAAGAGAAGCAUUCACUCGACUUCUCAGGAGCUCGUACAUAGUAGGAGCUUAAGGAGGGACUGCAGGAGGGGCACAACAACAACAAGGAAGAGCGAGUUGAGCUUCUGCAGCUGGAUGGAGGCAAAUAUCGUAUCGCUUGGGACAUGAGAAUAGAAGUUCAUUAACCAUGGUCCUUCAGAUUCACGCCAGGAGUAGCGUUUUAGGUCCUCUAGUCUCCUUUUGUAUUAUUGAAUAAGUAGAUGAACAUUAAUGUAUUUUGUCUUUAAGGAACUAAAUGACUUAAUAUGUAAUAGUACUUCUUUUACAUUAAGUGUCGGACAUAAAAAUGUAUUAUUAUGUAUUUGUAAAUCUUAGUUUGUUUACUUGCAAUUAUUAUGAAUUAUGUGUGUUAAUGGGAAAGAAAUGAGCAUGCGAAAUGUGAGGCAUGUACCAUGAA